CUGCUAGCCGCCGGAUCGAGCCACCUGCGGCCGGGAUCUGCCGCCUCCGUCGACCGCCUGUAAGCCCCUUCUUUUUCUCUUUAUUCCGUUGCUAAACAUCCUUGUGUUCUCCCUUUGUUUUGGCCCCAAACCGAGACCACUUUCGAUCUCUUCCUCCCCGUCAGUCGCCGCCGCAACCGCCGGCCGCUGGCGGCCGGCUGACCGUCGACCGAGGGGUGGCUUCCGGCCACCCAGGCCGGCCACCCCGCCGACCCUCUCUCUCUCUUCUGUCUUUCCUUCUUUCCCUGUCCGUGGGGAGUUUGGGGAAGGAGGAGGCCCAUCACGGGCCAAAUUGGGCCCAUUGGGCCCUAUCCAUUGCAGGCCCAACUUGGGCCCAGUCCAGUCCGGUUGGGCCCAGUUGGGCAGUACCUUUGUGGGCCCAACUUGGGCCCAGUUCAGAUCCGAACCCGGAACCCGAACCCGAACCUGGAACCCGGAACCCGGAACCCAAAAUCCGAACCCAUUUGGCCAAUAAAUGGAAUUUUUCAGUUCAGCCCUUGAUAGUAUAUUAUUUCACAAAAAGGUAUUCUGAAAUUUGUAUUUGAUCCCUGUAGGAAAGAUUUAUUACAUAAAGGCCCUCAACUAUAUUUGUUUGGACCUUUUACCUAAGUUUUAUUACGGAACGGUGCUAUGUAAUUAGACAUUGGUCCCUGAAACGAAUUUUUAUUGCAUAAAUGAACAAAUUAGAGGCCAACCUUGGGAGGGCCCUAUUGGGGCCAAGUCUAUGUGGGCCCAUUGGGUCGUGUCUGAUAUGGGCCCUAUCGGGCCACGCUCAUUAUGGACCAACUCUGGGCCCUGUUGGGCCGUGCCCAGUAGUAUUAUUUUUGAAUUUUUGCUUAGCUCUGAAAUUAACAAGGAAUUAAUUAAAUUUAAACAGGUGAACCUGAUCCGCCUAUCUGAAGUAGGGA
RNAcentral lists this long non-coding RNA (947 nucleotides) under Phoenix dactylifera (date palm). RNAcentral describes it as "long non-coding RNA (PDAC_LNC004543)". Lineage: Eukaryota; Viridiplantae; Streptophyta; Magnoliopsida; Arecales; Arecaceae. The record is from RNAcentral.